UAAGGAAUAUUGGUCAAUGGGCGAAAGCCUGACCCAGCAACGCCGCGUGAAGGAUGAAGGCUUUCGGGUUGUAAACUUCUUUGAUCAGGGACGAAAAAAAUGACGGUACCUGAAGAACAAGCCACGGCUAACUACGUGCCAGCAGCCGCGGUAAUACGUAGGUGGCAAGCGUUAUCCGAAUUUACUGGGUGUAAAGGGCGUGUAGGCGGGCUGACAAGUCGGAUGUUUAAUUCCCGGGCUUAACCCGGGCGGGUCAUCCGAAACUGUCGGUCUUGAGUACUGGAGAGGAUAGUGGAAUUCCUAGUGUAGCGGUAAAAUGCGUAGAUAUUAGGAGGAACACCAGUGGCGAAGGCGGCUAUCUGGACAGUAACUGACGCUGAGGCGCGAAAGCGUGGGGAGCAAACA
RNAcentral lists this ribosomal RNA (405 nucleotides) under uncultured prokaryote. RNAcentral's name for it is "bacterial SSU rRNA". It matches the Rfam family "Bacterial small subunit ribosomal RNA", at positions 355 to 774 of the family's 1533-position model. The record is from RNAcentral.